RNAcentral lists this long non-coding RNA (2460 nucleotides) under Homo sapiens (human). Its description in RNAcentral is "non-protein coding lnc-C5orf63-1:10". Lineage: Eukaryota; Metazoa; Chordata; Mammalia; Primates; Hominidae. The record is from RNAcentral.
CUCCCGCGUAGCCUGCGGGCCCCUGGCGGCCCAGGGCAUGGGGCAGAGACGCCAUGCCGGCUGAUACACACGCCCGGAGGAGGUGAGGGAGGAAGCCACUUGAAAAUAAACAGGUGCCGUAAAGGGCAUAGGUAGCUUGCCCGGGUUUCCUGCUUCCUGGUCGCUCGCGCUCGCCUCCCCGCCGCCUCGCCUCCCCUCGAGCAGCCUCCGCACCCCGUUCUUUCACUCCUCGGCGCGUGAGCUCCUGGCAGCCUCACCCUUUUGCACAUGACGCGCCUCCCCGGGUCUCCCGCAGGCAGGCCUCGCUCCUCCCUCCGCCAGGCCUGCCCGGGAGGCCUCGACCCGGCGAGGUGACCCGCCCCAGGGUCGCCGGCGCGAGGACGAGGCUGGCGGUGCGCUGCUUCCUCAGAGCCGCUUCCUCAGAGCCGGCUGCGGCGGGCCCGGGCGGGAACCACGGAGCCCAGUGCACCAGCCUCCUCGGUGCUACCGCGGGACACAGAGGAAACAGGAACAGCUGGUUUCUGUGGGCAGGCCCCGGGCUGGAACUAGAGCCAGGGUGCGGCCGGCGGGGGACAGGGAAAGAGAUCACAGCGAAGACCCAGAAGAAACAAAAGGCAAGCGAAUGACUUUAUUUUACUGAAAAAAAAAAAACUUGAAUGAAGAGAGCCAAAGUACAUGGUGAUGUGAGUGUGAGUCAUGGAACUUGUUCUUUUUUCUGAAUAAUUAUUUCACUUAAGAAGACAUCCAGAUACAUCCAGAUAAUUUGACUAUUUGCCGACCUCUUGGAUGUACCAUAGAUUCUUAUGCAUUGGAUCCUUGAAGACUUAACGCUUCAGGAUGGCAUGCUGGGCACACAAGUUCACUUCCCCCUUGCAAAGCCACAUGACAUUUACGGUAAAGAAAUAAGGCAGAAAUAAAGCCAUGACACUACUGUGACCAGAAGGAAGGCCAUCCGAGAGAAAUAUACUUUUGUGAAGUUCUUGGCAAGAAGAAAGAGGAGAGGACCAGGCCGGGCGCGGUAGCUCACGCCUGUAGUCCCAGCACUUUGGGACAAGGCGGGUGGAUUACAAGGUCAGGAGAUCGAGACCAUCCUUGCUAACACGGUGAAACCCCGUCUCUACUAAAAGUACGAAAAAUUAGCCGGGCGUGGUGGUGGGCGCCUGUAGUCCCAGCUAUUGGGGAGGCUAAGGCAGGAGAAUGGCGUGAACCCAGGAGGUGGAGUUUGCAGUGAGCCGAGAUCAUGCCACUGCACUCCAGCCUGGGCAACACUGCAAGACUCCGUCUCAAAAAAAAAAAAAAAAGAAAAGAAAAGAUAAAUAAAAUUGAUAAUUUGACUAUUUGCCGACCUCUUGGAUGUACCAUAGAUUCUUAUGCAUUGGAUCCUUGAAGACUUACACUUCAGGAUGGCAUGCCAGGCACACAAGUUCACUUCCCCCUUGCGAAGCCACAUGACAUUUAUGGUAAAGAAAUAAGGCAGAAAUAAAGUCAUGACACUACUGUGACCAGUGCAGUGGCAUGACCAUAACUCACUGCAGCCUCAAAUUCCUGGGUUCAAGGGAUCCUCCUACCUCAGCCUACUAUGGAGUAGCUGAGACUACAGGCACGUGCCACCAUGCUUGUCUAAUUUUUUUUUUUAAGUACUGGUAGAGAUGGGUACCUUGCUUUGUUGCCCAGGCUAGUCUUAAACUCCAGGCCUCAAACCAUGCUCCCACCCCAGCCUCCUGAAGCACUAGGAUUACAGGCAUGAGCCACUGCAUCAAGCCCAAAAGAGGCUUCUUAUAAAAAAGGAACAACCAGAAAACAAGAAAGGGUUACUGGAAAUUAAAAAUAUGGCUAAAGUGCCUCGUUAGCUCAGUCGGUAGCGCUUCAGUCUCAUAAAAAUAUGGCUGCUAAAAAAUUUUACCUGUAACACAAACACUGAAAAAUGAAAUCAAGGAAAUCUACCAAAAUGAUGAGUAAAAAGAAAUAGAAAGUAUGAAACAAAAGUUACAAUCAGAGAAUCAAUAGAAGUCCUACACCCGCCUAACAGAACUGUCAGAAGAAAGCUGAAAAAAAAAUGUGCAGGAGAAAAUCAUUGAAUAAACCAUAGGUGAAGAACGGAUAAACAAAAUGUGGUAUAUACAUACAAUGAAAUAUUAUCCAGUCACAAAAAGGAAAGGAGCUACAUGCUACAACAUGGAUGAACCUUGACAACAUUAUGCUGAGUGAGAAAAACCACACACAAAGGCACAAAGGCCACAUAUUGUAUGAUUCCAUUUAUAUGAAAAGUCCAGAACAGGCAAAGCCAUAGAGACAGAGAGUAAAUUAGUGGUUUCCAGGGACUGGGGGAAAAGGGUAAUGAGUGAGUGAUUGCUAAUGGGUGUGGGAUUUCUUUUGGGGGUGAUGAAAAUGUUCUGAAGCUAGAUUGUGGUGAUGGUUGCACAGCUUUGUAAAUAUAAAAAAACCGUUUCUUUGUAUGCU